Molecule: ribosomal RNA, 1246 nt
Filed under: metagenome
Description: bacterial LSU rRNA
Rfam family: Bacterial large subunit ribosomal RNA
Source: RNAcentral
GAUACGACCGUACCGCAAACCGACACUGGUGCGCGAGAUGAGUAUUCUAAGGCGCUUGAGAGAACUCAGGAGAAGGAACUCGGCAAAUUGACACCGUAACUUCGGAAGAAGGUGUGCCCUAUUAGUGUGUAGUGAACAACGAAGCAUGAAUGGGUUGCAAAAAAUCGGUGGCUGCGACUGUUUAUUAAAAACACAGCACUCUGCAAACACGGAAGUGGACGUAUAGGGUGUGGCGCCUGCCCGGUGCUGGAAGAUUAAAUGAUGGGGUGCAAGCUCUUGAUUGAAGUCCCAGUAAACGGCGGCCGUAACAAUAACGGUCCUAAGGUAGCGAAAUUCCUUGUCGGGUAAGUUCCGACCUGCACGAAUGGCGUAACGAUGGCCACACUGUCUCCUCCUGAGACUCAGCGAAGUUGAAAUGUUUGUGAUGAUGCAAUCUCCCCGCGGAAAGACGGAAAGACCCCAUGAACCUUUACUGUAGCUUUGUAUUGGACUUUGAACAGAUCUGUGUAGGAUAGGUGGGAGGCUUUGAAGCAGGGUCGCUAGAUCUUGUGGAGCCAACGUUGAAAUACCACCCUGGUGUGUUUGAGGUUCUAACCUAGGUCCAUUAUCUGGAUCGGGGACAGUGCAUGGUAGGCAGUUUGACUGGGGCGGUCUCCUCCCAAAGCGUAACGGAGGAGUUCGAAGGUACGCUAGUUACGGUCGGACAUCGUGACGAUAGUGCAAUGGCAUAAGCGUGCUUAACUGCGAGACUGACAAGUCGAGCAGAUGCGAAAGCAGGACAUAGUGAUCCGGUGGUUCUGUAUGGAAGGGCCAUCGCUCAACGGAUAAAAGGUACUCUGGGGAUAACAGGCUGAUACCGCCCAAGAGUUCAUAUCGACGGCGGUGUUUGGCACCUCGAUGUCGGCUCAUCUCAUCCUGGGGCUGUAGCCGGUCCCAAGGGUAUGGCUGUUCGCCAUUUAAAGAGGUACGUGAGCUGGGUUUAAAACGUCGUGAGACAGUUUGGUCCCUAUCUUCCGUGGGCGCUGCAGAUUUGAGGAAGCCUGCUCCUAGUACGAGAGGACCGGAGUGGACACACCUCUGGUGUAUCGGUUGUCACGCCAGUGGCAUGCCGAGUAGCUAAGUGUGGAAGAGAUAACCGCUGAAAGCAUCUAAGCGGGAAACUCGUUUCAAGAUGAGAUCUGCCGGGGCCUUGAGCCCCCUAAAGAGUCGUUCAAGACCAGGACGUUGAUAGGUCAGGUGUGGAAGC